This 76-nucleotide unclassified non-coding RNA is filed under the name Pseudomonas koreensis. The record is from RNAcentral. Lineage: Bacteria; Pseudomonadati; Pseudomonadota; Gammaproteobacteria; Pseudomonadales; Pseudomonadaceae.
AAAGAUCGCAGCCUGCGGCAGCUCCUACAGGGGAGAAGCAUUCCACAUGUAGGAGCUGCCGCAGGCUGCGAUCUUU